UCGGUAUGUUAUACAAUUUUCUCAUUGACACUUUUGCUCUGAAUAUAACACUUGAGCAGUUGAUUCAUUAAUAAUAACUAGUUAUGCAAUUAGGUAAAUACAAAACAUAGUCAGAGUUGCUCCAAGCAACGGCAAACAUUACGUUUGUUCUGUCGAGCUAUGUGGUACUUGCAUAUUUUUAAUAUUAUUAAAUUUUGGCGCAAGCUACGUGGGACACAUGGUGCAUGAAAUGCAGAUAUAACAUAUGGUACACAUAUUGUGUAAAUAUAACGUAGUGAUGCAAAUGUUUCGAUGUGGAUGCGGUGUCCGUUUCAACGAGGUAGAAAUGCACACUAAGUUUAUUAGCUGCAAACACAUGUGUUUGUCAGUCUUUUGCACUGCCCAUUAUACCACCACUUACAAGAGUUUCUUCACAUUAUGCAUCGUCUACAGAAAUGCCAGUAUUCGUGAUCACCGAUGCGACUUCGACUUGCACCAUUUCACACAGUUGCACGGCCGACGUGUAAUGAAUGGAGGCCAUGCACAGACCGAACCAUUGUUUCGUGCUAUUUUCUUGUUGGCGCUACUGGUUACAUAACACAACGCGGAGAAGUAGCACAUGCGUCGAGAAGCACGAGAUGUAACGACGUCUUGAAGCCCUUAGCAAUCAGGUGGUUAAUCGUGCCACUAGUUUUCUUCGUGGGCAGUGGUGAAGGGCUAGGGUGACAGAUGACAAGACGCGCAGUGGAGACGUCUUAGGUGGAGGACGGUAACUACCGGCUUUCCGGUUUUCGUAUGAAGACGUCAAAGUCUCCGGUGAACACCAACGGAGUCAUCUCGUCGUGCCUGUUGUAGUCACAGAUUACUGAUCCGAGUGUAUACAGAAUGAAGCUCACAGAGAGAAA
Molecule: long non-coding RNA, 884 nt
Organism: Dermacentor albipictus
Lineage: Eukaryota; Metazoa; Arthropoda; Arachnida; Ixodida; Ixodidae
Source: RefSeq, a predicted model, not a curated record